This is a long non-coding RNA of Neopelma chrysocephalum (saffron-crested tyrant-manakin), 268 nucleotides long. RefSeq lists it as uncharacterized. The record is from RefSeq and is a predicted model, not a curated record. Lineage: Eukaryota; Metazoa; Chordata; Aves; Passeriformes; Pipridae. The transcript is spliced from 3 exons.
GGGGGGGGGAGGGGGCCGUGGCCGUGCAGGCCGACCCCGCCCUGGCCCAGGCUGGAGGUCAGUUCUACGUGAUGAUGACCCCCCAGGACGUGCUGCAGGCGGGGGGGGCCCAGCGCAGCCUCGCCCCCCACGGGCACCCCUACUCGCCGAAGCUCGAGGGGCCGCGGGUGCCGCGGGACGAGCGACGGCGGGCGCAGCACAACGAGGGUGAGGGGGGGACACGGGGUCACCCCUGGGUCACCUGGGGGGGGGGUCUCGGCGUCACCUG